Molecule: non-coding RNA, 281 nt
Filed under: Virgibacillus salexigens
Lineage: Bacteria; Bacillati; Bacillota; Bacilli; Caryophanales; Bacillaceae
Description: T-box
Rfam family: T-box leader
About the family: Uncharged tRNA acts as the effector for transcription antitermination of genes in the T-box leader family. T-boxes are found upstream of many aminoacyl-tRNA synthetase genes and some amino acid biosynthetic genes usually in Gram-positive bacteria.
Source: RNAcentral
CUAAAAGCAAUGAUGAGAAGAGUAGUUGAAUAAGAGCUUCUGCAGAGACCUUCCAUAUGCUGAAAAGGAGGGAGUAUCAAGUUCAUUGAAACAAGUCUCGGAGCUGCACACAGGAGUUUUCUAAUAGAAUUGGAAGAGGAUGGUGUGACGGGAUCUCCCGUUAUUGAGAUAGAGUAUAAGCAUGCGAUAUUUUAGCUGCCGUACUUGAUAAGAUUUCUGUGGCGACACAGAAAUAAACUGGGGUGGCACCGCGAUUUUGGAUUCCAAAUCUCGCCCCCAAG